CUUUCCAAUUGACAGAUACAAGCAAGACAACGUCCUGUGAAAAAACUGUUUUGUCAUUGACACCUUUACUGGGGAGCAAAGCCGAGAGCAGAAACAGCCUCCAGAGGUUAAUUAAUUGUCCACACCCAUGCAUUAACUGCUGUUAAUCAGAAAGCACCGCACAAAACCUGCCUGUAUGCAUGACCCCCUUGGCUGCCCAGGCUGUGGGGCCUACUUGGGUUUUGCCUCCCUGGCCAAGAUGCCCGUUUGAUAAAGUUUUAAUCAUUAGAUGUUUUGUUAGUCCCGGUGGCAGGCAAGGAGAGGUCAGCUUAAUGUCCUACUGCUCUUGCCCUCCGUUUGCCUUUUGAGAGGCUGGAAAGGGAGAAGGGAGCUUGCACUGAAUUUGCCCCUUCCCCAGGUAAGCCAGGAGUGAGCGGGGAGGGCGAGGUUCAGGGCAGAGGACAGAGUCGCGGAGCCCCUUGCUCAGCCCCAUGCACCCGCUGGGGUCUCGCCAUCCCGCAGAGGAGCCCUCGGGGCGUCUCGCCCGGAGAGAACAAAUACCUGAGGGCACAAACAAAUACCUGAGGGCACAAAUACCUGACAGCGGGCGUCCGACGGAGCUGCUAGCCUCUCGCUUCCCCUGAUGCGAGAUGAAAAAGCCCUGAGCCUACAUUCUGUUUUGCCAGUCGCUGUUUCCUGUCACUCGCAAUGGCCUCUUCCCAGGAGGCAGCAUCUGGACUUUUUCCUUCUAUGUCAUUGCCAUGGGUAGAUGUUGACCUGGAUUCUCUGCUACAUAGUGGGCACACUGUGCUUCCCUCACAAGACACAGGCAGGCUGUAAGGAAGGAAUAUUUCUGGUGAAGUCAGUGGAGUUACCCGUGUGUAAUUCUGGAAUAAUCAAUUGGAGGCAACUACGGACUGCUCUGUGCACACAUGCUCAGUGUUUCUCGUGUACAGAGAACCUUGCUGUGUUGGAGCAUCUAUUCUUUUGGAGGAAUAUGAAGAAAGCAGAGAUAAUUCCAAAGUCUGUAUUUAACGCAAAAGAGCAUUGAACAAAAUACCUCAGCAGACUCUGAACUAGCUGUGGUUUUGGGAUGACCUGUUUUGCCUUUAAUAACACGGUGAAGAAGAUGUAUGCAUGCAUAAACGUGGACACACGCACAGGUAUAUCCAGGAGUCAUUCCUCUAACCUUCACUAUACUUCCCUUUUCCAGGAGGGCUGGAUUUUCUUUACUAGUCUUUUCCAACUGUGUUGUAAUUGCUGAAAGCAUCAGCAUAAAGUGCCAUCAACCAAAACGAAGUGAGGCAGACUCCCACAAGCUGCAAAACUUUGCAACACAAAGCCACAGUACAAAGAGUUUAGCUCUAUAGAAACCACAGUGAAUGCUACGAAGAAUCCCAGAAAACUUUGCACGAUGCUUCAAAAUGCACCACAGGGAUCCAGCGCUUGUUACCUCCUGACACCAUCUCUCUGUAAAGCAAAAAGCGUGCAGCGCUCCGUGCAGCGAUUACCCCGAGGUCCUACGCAUUCAGUGCUAACGUUGGAAAGUUUCAGAUCUCACAAAGAAGACAACAAGGAGCUUUGAUUGCCCCCGUUGAAGCUCCUGGUAAGGAACAGGUCACUUCCCUCCAAGCCUCUGAGCCUCGCUGUGUGGAUAUUUUCAUGCCCGCUUGACAGGUGACUGGUUUACCAGACAGGGUUGUCAGUGCUGCUGGGGGUUAUCUGGAUUUAGCUGUAGGCAGGAACUGGACCACAAUGAGCAUUAAAAAAGCUCGCUGUUCUUCGUUUGUUUAGAGACAAGCCAUCUCAAACUUGUUUGAAGCCUUUUUUAUUGAAUUCACACUCUUGUGCCAAGCACUGAAAGAUUUACUUUGGCUAUUGCUGCAAGAUGGAAAGCAUAUGAAUGCGUGGCUGGCUGCCAGCCGUGGGUGCGCAGUGAAAGCUCUGGUACAAUGGCCGGUUACAUGGAACAAAUGUGAAUGCGCUGGGCAGACGUGACUAAAGAAAGGCCUUGGCAUUCAAAGAACUGUUUGAGGUUUUAUCCAAGUGACUGAAGUAGGGUCAAGAGAUAACGCUUCUAACCUGCAAAGCUUUUUACUGCGCAGCAGCUGAAAAGUAGCGAGCUACAGGUACGUGUGCGUAUCACCUGAAGUCGCAGCUGCCUGGUGGUCCUCGCAGGCUCCAGCUCUUCCACAGAUGCCAUCUGCGAAGGCAAAGCCCCACUUGGACUUAUCCAGUGCGAGGCACCCCAACUGCUGUUGUGUAUUUCUUGCAGAUGUUGCCAUAAUUUUGUUGUGGUACAAUUUGACAUACGGCUCCCUGCUGCAUCCGAAAGGGGCACAUUAUCUCAAUUAAUGUUUCACAGCAAACGUGGCACUGAUAGUAUUCAUGGGACUAAAGACUAUUACCAUUUGCAUGGUGACUAGAACAAGAAUUAUGACUAUGUGUGUUUUCUGCAGCAAAAAUUUGCCCUUGGGCUCUUUUUUUUUUUUUUUUUUUUUUUUUCCUUUUUGGCUUGUGACAAUGUUCUCUUUUUCUUCCUCCUUCUGUUUUGAUUUCUACUUAAAGUUUUAUGGCUCUGUCCCCUCCAGGGUGCUAUUAUCUUGUAUGCUAAUAGGGCUAUGCAUAUUCUAUUAGCGUUGUCAGUGUGAGAUAAGAGGCACAUUCUGUAAGGAGCACUCAGGGGGUAAUAAUCACAGCAAGGGGUCUCAAUGUUAGUACAUUAUCAGUCAUCUUCACAUUUCAGUGGAGCCUGUUUAUGCACCUCUUCAGCUGCGCAACUCAGACACUGAAAAUUGCUGAAUGUUUACGGAAACUGUUGUAGAGGAACAUAAUGAGAUUUGAGAUUGACUUGAUAAAGGAGCCUUCUCCCUUGUUGCUUCCAGAUACAAGAUGUUUGGAACUGCAUGCAGUAAGUAGGAUAAUACGUUAUAUGGCAGUUAGCAGCUAAAAGCAGGCUCGGAUCUGUAUUCCAAGCAAUAGAGCAGCUAUCUAGGAAAAGAUUUCAUGAGGGUCCGCAUCGUUGUGCUUUCUUCAGAAAUUUCUGUCUCACUUUUCUACGUGGUAACACAUAAAUGAGCACACCUGGUUCACAUCAAUAGGAAGGCUGACAAUUUUUACACCCUUUAGUCAUGAACUUGAAUGAUUAUAAGUUGGUCCACAGCAAGAAAAUCAGCGACAGGAUGUGAAGGGCAAACGAGUGACCAUAUGCAGCGCUUAGUUAAAUAACAGUCCCUGGUUGUAGCAAUGGCCAGUGGCAUUUGAAAUAGGUGUCGUGCAAGUGUUUCUUCCAGCUAUUGAUGAUGCUAUGGGCUGGUGAGGGUGAGGCAGAGGCUUUGCUGCUGCUGGAAAUGUCUGUCGUUUCUCCCAGCUGACUUGUGCUCCCACCAAAUGGGGGACUUUGUAAUAAAUGCAGUGCCUGGUUUUGCAGACCACGGGAAAAUAGCCUAAUGAGGGAUGACACAAAAUACAGGGUGAAAAACUAAUCACAUAUUCAGAACGAAGGAGCAGACAGUUCUUGGGGACAGAGAGGGAACUUUUGCUGUAAAACUUUUCCUUUCUGCAAAUAAAAAACUAAACAUCCUGCCAUGGGCAAAGCUGUCAGGAGAGCCUUAAAAUGUUGCUCGGUAUAAAUAUGCAAAUUCCUAAAUGCAUAGAUGCCUAGUUAGAUGGUCUAAAAUUAAUUCCUGGGAAGCAGCAGCUAUAUGCUGGCUACAGCUGAACAACCAUAGCAAGAAGGAAAGUGCUAUGUUUUGGAUCACUUCUGUAGUACUUAAGAUUACACAUGGAUAUGAACGCUCCUUACUUUAAAAAUGUUUGUCCUUGACAUUUCCAGACACAUGGCUCACACCAAAUGUAUUCAGCUCCAUCUCCUGAGGGUCUUGAGAUUAAAACCCCUGCUUUCUCACCUUGUGAUCUGGCAUUAAUAGCUGAUAGAAAAAUCACAUACAUGACUGACAUCUUCCUAGAAAUGUGAGACUGUGGAAUUAAUGAAUGCCAUGCUGGAAAGCAGGGGUCAGUUUGGAAAUAGGAUUUCUGUUGCCAGCCAUCCAGUCAUGAACUGGACAAUCUGCCGUUCAUUUUUUUUCUUCAGCAUUGAGGAAAAUUGGUCUGGAGAAUAAAGCAGUCAGAAAAUAAGUAGCUAUGUUUCUUUGGCCACUGGAGGUUGAUGGACUUUUACGGCUUGUGGAAAUCAGGCUGACUUCUGGUUUACAGAAGAGCUGUUAGCACAUUCUUCGUGCCCUGCUAAGUUCUUUAUCCUGCUGUUAUCCACAGGAAGAAAAUUUGCAAAUCUGUAAAUCUGCAACUUCUAUAGGCUUGGGUGGCCCAAGGAACUGAUGGCCAGACAUUAUGGUAUUGUUAGACCAAUGACAGUGAUACAGCAGCACUAGGCAGCUGCGCUCCCAACCUCUGGAUGGUUGGUGAAAUGUCAGGGGAAAAGAUAUCCCUGCCCUACCUGGGGGAGAGGGGUAUUUCCAGCCCCAAAGUGCAUCAGCUGAUAGAGACAGCUGGAGAGAAGGGGCCAUGGAAAAGUCUGCUCCGUAUGAUUUUAAAUCACUUUCAGCAAGAUAAUACAUGUGGUGUACCUUAUCUGAUGUUUAGAGAUCCUCCCUGACCCCAGUGGUGCUAAUAUUGUUGCCUAUUUUCUACCUUUUCUGCUCCAUCUGUCUACAGUUUUGUCAACGCUGAUCUUGUCAAUGUGGCCACGAUGAAAUCACGUUUACUCAUGAAAUAAUAUCACUCGUAAAUGAAAUAGCACAGCCCCUGUACAACACUUUUCACUAGCAUGGACUUAAAUUGCUAGCAGCUCUGUGGAACUAGUGAUGAUCUCAAUGAAAAAAAUAAAAUAAAAUCAGCACUUUCUAGAAAGUA
Long non-coding RNA from Oxyura jamaicensis (ruddy duck), 4851 nucleotides. RefSeq lists it as uncharacterized. Lineage: Eukaryota; Metazoa; Chordata; Aves; Anseriformes; Anatidae. The transcript has 8 exons. The record is from RefSeq and is a predicted model, not a curated record.